This 253-nucleotide ribosomal RNA is filed under the name uncultured bacterium. Its description in RNAcentral is "partial 16S ribosomal RNA". It matches the Rfam family "Bacterial small subunit ribosomal RNA", at positions 524 to 776 of the family's 1533-position model. The record is from RNAcentral.
UACGGAGGGAGCUAGCGUUAUUCGGAAUUACUGGGCGUAAAGCGCACGUAGGCGGCUUUGUAAGUUAGAGGUGAAAGCCUGAAGCUCAACUUCAGAAUUGCCUUUAAGACUGCAUCGCUUGAAUCCAGGAGAGGUGAGUGGAAUUCCGAGUGUAGAGGUGAAAUUCGUAGAUAUUCGGAAGAACACCAGUGGCGAAGGCGGCUCACUGGACUGGUAUUGACGCUGAGGUGCGAAAGCGCGGGGAGCAAACAGG